AUACUUACCUGGCAGGGGAGAUACCGUGAUCAGGAAGGUGGUUUUCCCAGGGGGAUGCUUAUCCAUUGCACUCCAGGUGCCCUGACCCCUGCAAUUUCCCCAAAUGCGGGAAAUUCGACUGCUCAAUUUAUGGUAGUGGGGGACUAUGUUCGUGCUUUCCCUUG
Molecule: small nuclear RNA, 164 nt
Filed under: Propithecus coquereli (Coquerel's sifaka)
Lineage: Eukaryota; Metazoa; Chordata; Mammalia; Primates; Indriidae
Description: U1 spliceosomal RNA (ENSPCOG00000000289.1)
Rfam family: U1 spliceosomal RNA
About the family: U1 is a small nuclear RNA (snRNA) component of the spliceosome (involved in pre-mRNA splicing). Its 5' end forms complementary base pairs with the 5' splice junction, thus defining the 5' donor site of an intron.
Source: Rfam by way of RNAcentral